Molecule: ribosomal RNA, 296 nt
Filed under: uncultured Pseudomonas sp.
Lineage: Bacteria; Pseudomonadati; Pseudomonadota; Gammaproteobacteria; Pseudomonadales; Pseudomonadaceae
Description: partial 16S ribosomal RNA
Rfam family: Bacterial small subunit ribosomal RNA
Source: RNAcentral
GUAACGAGCGCAACCCUUGUCCUUAGUUACCAGCACGUUAUGGUGGGCACUCUAAGGAGACUGCCGGUGGACAAACCGGAGGAAGGUGGGGAUGACGUCAAGUCAUCAUGGCCCUUACGGCCUGGGCUACACACGUGCUACAAAUGGUCGGUACAAAGGGUUGCCAAGCCGCGAGGUGGAGCUAAUCCCAUAAAACCGAUCGUAGUCCGGAUCGCAGUCUGCAACUCGACUGCGUGAAGUCGGAAUCGCUAGUAAUCGUGAAUCAGAAUGUCACGGUGAAUACGUUCCCGGGCCUU